This 253-nucleotide ribosomal RNA is filed under the name uncultured bacterium. Its description in RNAcentral is "partial 16S ribosomal RNA". It matches the Rfam family "Bacterial small subunit ribosomal RNA", at positions 524 to 776 of the family's 1533-position model. The record is from RNAcentral.
UACAUGGGGUGCAAACGUUGCUCGGAAUUAUUGGGCGUAAAGCGCACGUAGGCGGUUCGUUAAGUCGGAUGUGAAAGCCCGCGGCUCAACCGCGGAUUGUCGUUGGAAACUGCCUCGCUAGAGUCCGGAAGAGGAGAGCGGAAUUCCUGGUGUAGCGGUGGAAUGCGCAGAUAUCAGGAAGAACACCCGUGGCGAAGGCGGCUCUCUGGGACGGUACUGACGCUGAGACGCGAAAGCGUGGGGAGCGAACAGG